This 406-nucleotide ribosomal RNA is filed under the name uncultured Bacteroides sp. RNAcentral's name for it is "bacterial SSU rRNA". It matches the Rfam family "Bacterial small subunit ribosomal RNA", at positions 95 to 500 of the family's 1533-position model. Lineage: Bacteria; Pseudomonadati; Bacteroidota; Bacteroidia; Bacteroidales; Bacteroidaceae. The record is from RNAcentral.
CCGGCGCACGGGUGAGUAACACGUAUCCAACCUGCCGAUAACUCGGGGAUAGCCUUUCGAAAGAAAGAUUAAUACCCGAUGGCAUGGAAAGCCCGCAUGGUCUUUCCAUUAAAGAAUUUCGGUUAUCGAUGGGGAUGCGUUCCAUUAGAUAGUAGGCGGGGUAACGGCCCACCUAGUCAACGAUGGAUAGGGGUUCUGAGAGGAAGGUCCCCCACAUUGGAACUGAGACACGGUCCAAACUCCUACGGGAGGCAGCAGUGAGGAAUAUUGGUCAAUGGACGAGAGUCUGAACCAGCCAAGUAGCGUGAAGGAUGACUGCCCUAUGGGUUGUAAACUUCUUUUAUACGGGAAUAAAGUAUUCCACGUGUGGAAUUUUGUAUGUACCGUAUGAAUAAGGAUCGGCUAA